Molecule: ribosomal RNA, 1000 nt
Filed under: Triticum aestivum (bread wheat)
Lineage: Eukaryota; Viridiplantae; Streptophyta; Magnoliopsida; Poales; Poaceae
Description: partial small subunit ribosomal RNA
Source: RNAcentral
CCCGAGAGGUAUAGAGUAGAAGCGUUGGUGGUGCAGCGGAGGUACUCAGAGCCCCCUCUUGGGAUCGGCGGUGAGGAAGGGAGGGGAUAUGGAGGAGGGGCAGAGCGGCGGCGGCGGCCUCACGCGGGGCCCCGCUUCGAUCCCGGUCGCGGAGGUACGCAGAGCCCCCUCUUGGGAUCGGUGGUGGGGAAGGGAAGGGAUUGAGGAGGGACAGAGCGGCGGGGGCGGCCUCCCGCACGGCCCCGCUUCGAUGCCGGUAGGGGUUCCUCCCGCUGCUGCCCCGUGGACCAAACACAGCCGAACCGUGCCCGCGCGCCGUUUGCGAACCACGUCGUCGCAACUCCGUGCUUGAUGCAACGGCGUCCUCCCAGCGGCUGUGCUCAACGACCGAACGACGGACCGAAUUGCCACUGCGCCCGUCCCGUGGUACCACGAUAGACUGGGGGACGGAACGAAGGCGGCCUACGCCCGAGAGAGGUGAGGAGUACGUAGGCGGCACAACCAGGUUCGUCUCCUGCUUCAGGUCGGGAACGGUUGUUCGAGUAUUACUAAAGUCUUCAUGCCAGAUUACCUUCCCACCUCCUUCUAAAAACUUUACCGUUUCAGCAGUCGUUCCUGUACUCUGUUCUCCAGACUGGCUUGAUGCAGUCAGUUGAUGCAGUCCACGUGGAACUGGAAGACGGACUCGUCUACUUGAUCGGUGACGGGACCUACAACACAGCAGGAGGUCAGGGCGAGACGACGAAGACUGGUUCGUGGAGUUUGGUUCUGACUAACGAAAUAAUAACACUAGCCAGUUAUGUUAUAACCAUAUAUACAGAACAUAUCACGGGAAAACGUAAUCAAAAGAAUAUAAACGCCUCACACGUUUACUCAAAGAAGAAUGGAAAUGAGUAAUUAUUAUCAUCACUCGCUAAGAGACACAAAACUCAAUAGAUAACCUAGUUACAUAAAAGACCUAAAUACUACAAGUAAAAGUUUCACUAUAAACAUGAUACAA